AAUGCCUGGAGGGCUCUGCCUGUUGGUGGUGACAGCUGGAAGAUUCGUGGUGAGGGGUUCCGCCUGUUGGUGGUGAAUGCCUGGAGGGCUCUGCCUCUUGGUGGUGAGAGCCGUGGGGUUCAUGGUGAGGAAUUCCGCCUGUUGGUGGUGAGACCUGGGAGGGCUCCGCCUGGUGGUGGUGAGCGCCAUGGGGUUCGUGGUGAGGGAUUCCGCCUGUUGGCGGUCGGAGCUGGGAGGGCUCUGCCUGUUGGUGGUGAGCGCUAGGGUGUUCGUGGUGAGGGGUUCCGCCUGUUGGUGGUGAGAGCUGGGAGGUUGGCAGGGAGUGCUGCCGCCUGUUGGUGUGGAGCACCAGGAGGUUUGUGGUGAGGGCUGGCGCCUGUUGGUGGCGAGCACCAGGAGGUUCACGGUGAGGGUUCCGCCUGUUGGUGGUGAGCACCGGGAGGUUCACGGUGAGGGUUCCGCCUGUUUCUUGGUGGGCACCGUGGGAGUUCUGCCUGCUCGCGGUGAAGGGUUCCGCCUGUUGGGAGUGAGCGCCUGGAGGGCUCUGCCUGUUUGUGGUGAGCACUGGGGGGGUUCCGCCUGUUCGUGGUGAGCACCAGGAGGGCUCCGCCUGUUUGUGGCGAGGGUUCCGCCUGUUCAUGGCGAGGGUUCUGCCUGUUCCUAAUGGGCAUGGUGGUAGUUCCGCCUGUUCGUGGUGAGCAGCAGGAGGGCUCCUCCUGUUUGCAGUGAGGGUUCCGCCUGUUCCUGGCGAGGGUUCCGCCUGUUCCUAGUGGGCAUAGUGGUAGUUCUGCCUGUUUGUGGUGAGCACCAGGAGGGCUCCACCUGUUCAUGGCGAGGGUUCUGCCUGCUCCUAGUGGGCACGGUGGUAGUUCCGCCUGUUGCUGGUGAGCACCAAGAGGGCUCCGCCUGUUCAUGGCGAGGGUUCUGCCUGUUUAUGGCGAGGGUUCCGCCUCUUCAUGGCGAGGGUUCCGCCUGUUCAUGGCGAGGGUUCCGCCUGUUCAUGGCGAGGGUUCCGCCUCUUCAUGGCGAGGGUUCCGCCUGUUCGCGGUGAAGGUUCCACCUGUUCAUGGCGAGGGUUCUGCCUGUUUGCAUCAAGGGUUCCACCUGUUCGCAGUAAGGGUUCUGCCUGUUCAUGGCGAGGGUUCCGCCUGUUGAGGGUGAGCGCGGUGCAGGAGCUGCGCUGCUCCAAACCCUCCAACAGAAUCCCCCCCGUCCCCCAAUCCCAGACCCAUAGGGGGCGGAAGGGACCUCUGGGUCCCCCCCGAGUCACCCCCAUCCCACAGCAGGACCCCACAGCGCUGUGCCCGCGGUCACAUGCAGGUGGGUGUCAGCAUCUCCGUGGGGGGGAGACCCCACCGCUGCUCUGGGUGGCGUGGUCUGUUGGGAACCUGUUGGGAACCCAUUGGGAACCCACUGGGGAACCCAUUGGGAGCCCAUUGGGGACUCAUUGGGGAACCCGUUGGGAACCCAUUGGGGAAGCCAUUGGAGAACCCAUUGGGAACUCAUUGGGAAUUCAUUGGGAACUCAUUGAGGAACCCGCUGGGAACCCAUUGGGAACCCACUAGAGAACCCAUUGGGAACUGAUUGGGGAACCCAUUGGGAACCCAUUGAGGAACCCGUUGGGAACUGAUUGGAGAACCCAUUGGAGAACCCAUUGGGGAACCCAUUGGAGAACCCAUUGGGAACUGAUUGGAGAACCCAAUGGGGAACCCAUUGGAGAACCCAUUGGGAACCCAUUGGGGAACCCAUUGGGGAAACCCAUUGGGAACUCAUUGAGGAACCUUUUGGGAACCCAUUGGGGAACCCAUUGGAGAACCCAUUGGGAACUGAUUGGGGAACCCAUUGGGAACUGAUUGGGGAACCCGUUGGAAAACCUAUUGGGGAACCCAUUGGGAACUCAUUGAGGAACCUGCUGGGAACCCGUUGGGAACCCACUGGAGAACCCAUUUGGAACUAAUUGGGGAACCCGUUGGGAACUCGUUGGGGAACUCGUUGGGGAACCCUUUGGAGAACCCAUUGGGAACUCAUUGAGGAACCUGCUGGGAACCCGUUGGGAACCCACUGGAGAACCCAUUGGGAACUAAUUGGGGAACCCAUUGGGAACUCGUUGGGGAACCCAUUGGAGAACCCAUUGGGGAACUCAUUGAGAAGCCAAUGGGGAACCUGAUGGGAAAUCUGUUGGGAACCCAUUGGAAAACCAUUGGGAACCCAUUGGGAACUCACUGGGGAACCCGUUGGGAACCCAUUGGGGAACCCAUUCGGGAACCCAUUGGAAACUCAUUGGGAACCCAUUGGAAGUGGCCCCAAACCCACUGUGGCACACACCCACUUCCCACCAGGGACUGGUGGCCGUGCACAGAUGUCCCCUUUGUCCCAACAUGGGGACAGGACCCCCAGCCGGGCCGUGUCCCCGAGCAGAACCCCCAAAUCCCACCAUCACAGAACUAUGGGGGGCUCCAGAGGUCCCUCCAACCCCCAAGUCACCCCCAAACCUACAGCAGUUCCCCACAGCGCAGUGCCCGGGGGUCUCAUCCAGGCGGGAUUUAAUGUUUCCAUGGAAGGAGA
This is a long non-coding RNA of Numida meleagris (helmeted guineafowl), 2565 nucleotides long. The record is from Ensembl. Lineage: Eukaryota; Metazoa; Chordata; Aves; Galliformes; Numididae.